This 327-nucleotide unclassified non-coding RNA is filed under the name soil metagenome. Its description in RNAcentral is "partial contains 5.8S ribosomal RNA, internal transcribed spacer 2, and large subunit ribosomal RNA". The stretch from base 1 to 120 matches the Rfam family "5.8S ribosomal RNA", at positions 35 to 154 of the family's 154-position model. The record is from RNAcentral.
GAUGAAGAACGCAGUGAAAUGCGAUAACUAAUGUGAAUUGCAGAAUUCAGUGAAUCAUCGAAUCUUUGAACGCACAUUGCGCCCCUUGGUAUUCCGAGGGGCAUGCCUGUUCGAGCGUCAUUUUGACCACUCCCGCUUGCGGGGUCUUGGGCCUUCGCCUCUGGGCGGGCCUUAAAAUCAGUGGCGGUGCCGUCCGGCUCUAAGCGUAGUAAAUCUCCUCGCUAUAGGGUUCCGGAGGGAUGCUGGCCAACAACCCCCAACUUUUAAGGUUGACCUCGGAUCAGGUAGGGAUACCCGCUGAACUUAAGCAUAUCAAUAAGCGGAGGA